GGUAGAAGGUAGUUUGAAAAACAGGAAAUAAGUCAGUGGGAGAGAAUACCUGGAGUACUGCGUGUGCAUGAGAGGUCGUUCAGGAGCAAUGGAGCUGUGCAGCUGUUUCUUCUUCUUCUUCUCCUUCCCAUGGAUGUUUUGAAGAAAGGCAACCGGGUCCUGUCUCACGGGACGCUGCCCUUGUUUGUUGUUUGCUGAACUGACCAGGUCCUUGUUUUCCCUAAUGUAAAAACCCACAGGCAUGUUGUAAACAAUAAAAAAAGAUCACCUCAAA
Long non-coding RNA from Notolabrus celidotus (New Zealand spotty), 274 nucleotides. RefSeq lists it as uncharacterized. NCBI's taxonomy places the organism in Eukaryota, Metazoa, Chordata, Actinopteri, Labriformes, Labridae. The transcript has 3 exons. The record is from RefSeq and is a predicted model, not a curated record.